RNAcentral lists this long non-coding RNA (260 nucleotides) under Bos taurus (domestic cattle). Its description in RNAcentral is "long non-coding RNA NONBTAT011961". The record is from RNAcentral. Lineage: Eukaryota; Metazoa; Chordata; Mammalia; Artiodactyla; Bovidae.
CCCACAGAUUCUGUACUCAACAUACAGUAUAGUUUAUCUGCUUUAUUUCUGUCUUAUAGAAAUCAUGAAUGUGGUCUCCAGACAUUGAUGAAGAAAGUCUGUUGGUAAUUGAUACAUGCGCAAAAGCAUCAGAGGUUAAACUAAUUUGAAGUCUAUGUUGACACUUGAAAGCUUAGUUUUUUGUUGGUAGAUUCCGAUGCAUGCUAGAAUUUGGGACAAGCACCAUUUGGAUAAGAUACUAAAGACAAUUUUUAAAUGAA